UCCAAUUUUCUUUUUCCUUCUUAGCUGCAAUGUAUUCUGUCCACCAAUGUGAUUCCUGAUGACACAAGUUUCUAGAUGGUGAAAGUUUCGCUUAGUUUCGUACAUAAGCAAUGUCUAUAGAUGCAUAAUCUUGCGAUAACUAGAAAUAAAAAUAUUCCUAACCAAGGGGCAAGAGAUCAUAUUAGAGGAAUAAAGAAUUUGGUGGGGGAAUUUGUGGACCCCUCAGACCAGAUUGUGAAGAAUUUCAUGUUCUGAUGUUGUGGUUUAUGAAGAAUUUCAUGAAGAAUUUCAUGGUCUUAGUUGACCAUCUCCCCUUACCCCUUCCCUCUAGAUUAGGCUAGAUUAGGUUAUAAGACAUCUACCGUUGCGAAAAAAAAAA
This is a non-coding RNA of Coffea arabica (coffee), 379 nucleotides long. The record is from RefSeq and is a predicted model, not a curated record. NCBI's taxonomy places the organism in Eukaryota, Viridiplantae, Streptophyta, Magnoliopsida, Gentianales, Rubiaceae.